GAAUUCGCCCUUAGAGUUUGAUCCUGGCUCAGGAUGAACGCUGGCGGCGUGCUUAACACAUGCAAGUCGAGCGAAGCAGUUAAGUUGAUUUCUUCGGAUUGAUUCUUAAUUGACUGAGCGGCGGACGGGUGAGUAACGCGUGGGUGACCUGCCCCAUACCGGGGGAUAACAGCUGGAAACGGCUGCUAAUACCGCAUAAGCGCACAGAGCUGCAUGGCUCGGUGUGAAAAACUCCGGUGGUAUGGGAUGGGCCCGCGUCUGAUUAGGCAGUUGGCGGGGUAACGGCCCACCAAACCGACGAUCAGUAGCCGGCCUGAGAGGGCGACCGGCCACAUUGGGACUGAGACACGGCCCAAACUCCUACGGGAGGCAGCAGUGGGGAAUAUUGCACAAUGGGGGAAACCCUGAUGCAGCGACGCCGCGUGAGCGAAGAAGUAUUUCGGUAUGUAAACUUCUAUCAGCAGGGAAGAUAGUGACGGUACCUGACUAAGAAGCCCCGGCUAACUACGUGCCAGCAGCCGCGGUAAUACGUAGGGGGCAAGCGUUAUCCGGAUUUACUGGGUGUAAAGGGAGCGUAGACGGUGUGGCAAGUCUGAUGUGAAAGGCAUUGGCUCAACCUGUGGACUGCAUUGGAAACUGUCAUACUUGAGUGCCGGAGGGGUAAGCGGAAUUCCUAGUGUAGCGGUGAAAUGCGUAGAGAUAGGGAGGAACACCAGUGGCGAAGGCGGCCUACUGGGCUUUAACUGACGCUGAGGCACGAAAGCGUGGGUAGCAAACAGGAUUAGAUACCCUGGUAGUCCACGCUGUAAACGAUGAUUACUAGGUGUGGGGGGUCUGACCCCCUUCCGUGCCGGAGUUAACACAAUAAGUAAUCCACCUGGGGAGUACGACCGCAAGGUUGAAACUCAAAGGAAUUGACGGGGGCCCGCACAAGCAGUGGAGUAUGUGGUUUAAUUCGAAGCAACGCGAAGAACCUUACCAGGUCUUGACAUCGAGUGACGAAUCUAGAGAUAGAUUUUUCCUUCGGGACACAAAGACAGGUGGUGCAUGGUUGUCGUCAGCUCGUGUCGUGAGAUGUUGGGUUAAGUCCCGCAACGAGCGCAACCCUUGCUAUUAGUUGCUACGCAAGAGCACUCUAAUAGGACUGCCGUUGACAAAACGGAGGAAGGUGGGGACGACGUCAAAUCAUCAUGCCCCUUAUGACCUGGGCUACACACGUACUACAAUGGAUGUAAACAGAGGGAAGCAAAAUAGCGAUAUGGAGCAAACCCCAAAAAGCAUUCUCAGUUCAGAUUGCAGGCUGCAACUCGCCUGUAUGAAGUUGGAAUUGCUAGUAAUCGCGGAUCAGCAUGCCGCGGUGAAUACGUUCCCGGGCCUUGCACACACCGCCCGUCA
RNAcentral lists this ribosomal RNA (1395 nucleotides) under uncultured bacterium. RNAcentral's name for it is "bacterial SSU rRNA". It matches the Rfam family "Bacterial small subunit ribosomal RNA". The record is from RNAcentral.